UGGCGGACGGGUGAGUAACGCGUGGGGAACCUGCCCUGUACAGGGGGAUAACACUUAGAAAUAGGUGCUAAUACCGCAUAAGCGCACAGUAUCGCAUGAUACAGUGUGAAAAACUCCGGUGGUACAGGAUGGACCCGCGUCUGAUUAGCUGGUUGGCGGGGUAACGGCCCACCAAGGCGACGAUCAGUAGCCGGCCUGAGAGGGUGAACGGCCACAUUGGGACUGAGACACGGCCCAAACUCCUACGGAAGGCAGCA
This 257-nucleotide ribosomal RNA is filed under the name uncultured bacterium. RNAcentral's name for it is "partial 16S ribosomal RNA". It matches the Rfam family "Bacterial small subunit ribosomal RNA", at positions 96 to 353 of the family's 1533-position model. The record is from RNAcentral.